Molecule: ribosomal RNA, 460 nt
Filed under: uncultured bacterium
Lineage: Bacteria
Description: partial 16S ribosomal RNA
Rfam family: Bacterial small subunit ribosomal RNA
Source: RNAcentral
CCUACGGGAGGCAGCAGUGAGGAAUAUUGGUCAAUGGGCGCGAGCCUGAACCAGCCAAGUAGCGUGAAGGAUGACGGCCCUACGUGUUGUAAACUUCUUUUAUAAAGGAAUAAAGUGAGGCACGUGUGCCUGUAUGUAUGUACUUUAUGAAUAAGGAUCGGCUAACUCCGUGCCAGCAGCCGCGGUAAUACGGCGGAUGCGAGCGUUAUCCGGAUUUAUUGGGUUUAAAGGGAGCGUAGAUGGGUUGUUAUGUCAGGUGUGAAAGGUUGCGGCUCAACCGUAAAACUGCAAUUGAUACUGGCAGUCUUGAGUACAGAUGAGGUAGGCGGAAUGCGUGGUGUAGCGGUGAAAUGCUUAGAUAUCACGAAGAACUCCGAUUGCGAAGGCAGCUUACUAAACUGCCACUGACACUGAGGCUCGAAAGUGUGGGUAUCAAACAGGAUUAGAUACCCGGGUAGUC